RNAcentral lists this ribosomal RNA (404 nucleotides) under uncultured Thermomicrobia bacterium. RNAcentral describes it as "bacterial SSU rRNA". It matches the Rfam family "Bacterial small subunit ribosomal RNA", at positions 353 to 772 of the family's 1533-position model. The record is from RNAcentral. Lineage: Bacteria; Pseudomonadati; Thermomicrobiota; Thermomicrobia.
AGCAAGGAGUUUUCCGCAAUGGGCGAAAGCCUGACGGAGCAACGCCGCGUGGGGGAUGACGCCCUUCGGGGUGUAAACCCCUUUUCUUGGGGACGAAGCAGUGACGGUACCCGAGGAAGAAGGCCCGGCUAACUACGUGCCAGCAGCCGCGGUAAUACGUAGGGGCCGAGCGUUGUCCGGAGUUACUGGGCGUAAAGCGCGCGCAGGCGGCUCGUCAAGCCUGACGUGAAAGCCCCCGGCUCAACCGGGGAGGGUCGUCGGGGACUGGCGAGCUUGAGGUCGGCAGGGGCUGGUGGAACUCCCGGUGUAGUGGUGAAAUGCGUAGAGAUCGGGAAGAACACCCGUGGCGAAGGCGGCCAGCUGGGCCGGACCUGACGCUGAGGCGCGAAGGCGUGGGGAGCGAA